Molecule: long non-coding RNA, 943 nt
Organism: Hyaena hyaena (striped hyena)
Lineage: Eukaryota; Metazoa; Chordata; Mammalia; Carnivora; Hyaenidae
Exons: 4
Source: RefSeq, a predicted model, not a curated record
GCGUAAGUAACAAUAAUCCUUUUGAAGUUGAGAUUGCCACCUGGCCAUUGGGGCUUCCCAUGGAAUUAGAUUGAGAGGUACCUACUGAGUGAUUAUGUUUAUGGAAAGGAAGUAGGGUCAUUGUUAUGCAGUGAAGCCAGGGAAGACUGUGCUUUGGACCCAGGGGAAUUCCAUGGAUACCUCUAAAAAUUCAAGUAAAAAAGUGUCAUAGAAGACUAGAGUAACCCAAAGGAACCCUACUAAAGAGAAACACAUACAUAGUCCAAAAUUGUAGGUAUCAACAAGCUUUUAGCCACAAGGAAAAAUUGAAAAUGCCCUAAUGGUCUAUCAGUAACAUAUUGCUUAAAUAAACCCUGAGUUGUCCAUAUGCACCUGAAAGGAAUGAAGGCAACUGACAAGGAAGGAUCAUCAAGGGUACUGCCCAAUGUUCUGCUACUGGAAAGAUUUCCCUUUGCUAUUGUCUUUACCACCAUCGAGAAUGAGGCUAUAGUGCAGCAGCCAUGUACUUUUUAAUGGCCACUAUGACCAAAAGUAUCAGUCCUGAAGCCAUCAGAUAUGGCUACCAGACUGAAGGCCUGGCUCCUUUCUGGGAGGAGAAAAUGGAAAUCUGUCACCCUGGCACCCUGACUCCCCUGCCUUCACUCCAGCACAGUCCAUGAUCUGCCUGGCUUCCCAGGCUACUCCAGGCGCCUCUGCAUAUGGAGCUGCUAUAUCUCCUCUCUAGAUAGUCUCGGUAUUUUUGUUUCUAAUUUUAACCUCAUUCAGAUUCUCCACCUGCGCUUCCCCAUAAUGUCUCCUGGUUCUUUCAUGUUGCAUUUGGCUCUCGGCUGGGUUUGCAACUCCUCCCAACUUAGCAACAUCUGAAAAUUUAAUUAGCAAGUGGUUGUCUCCUUCUUCCAUAUAAUUAAUGAAGAUGUUAAAAUAAAACUGGAUUAAGAACUUA